AUGAUAGGUAUAUUUUGGAAUUGUAGGGGGGCAGGUAAGAAAGGCAUGUCUAGCUGUCUCACUGACAUGAUUAGUGCCAAUGGGGUAGAUUUCCUUGGGUUGCAAGAAACUAUGAAAAGCAACUACACUCCUUCCUUUUUUAGGAAGCUAGAUCCAUAUCAAAAGUUUCAUUGGGAAUGGAACCCUUCUAGGGGAAAAUCUGGAGGCAUCCUUUGUGGUGUGAAUAAAAAUAAGUUUGAUACCCUAGGAGUGAAACAUGGGAAAUUUAUUUACAAAUUGACCUUUUUGACAAAAGCAAAAAGAGUAAGUGGGCCUUGA
This 318-nucleotide ribosomal RNA is filed under the name Triticum aestivum (bread wheat). Its description in RNAcentral is "partial small subunit ribosomal RNA". Lineage: Eukaryota; Viridiplantae; Streptophyta; Magnoliopsida; Poales; Poaceae. The record is from RNAcentral.